RNAcentral lists this ribosomal RNA (493 nucleotides) under uncultured bacterium. RNAcentral describes it as "partial 16S ribosomal RNA". It matches the Rfam family "Bacterial small subunit ribosomal RNA", at positions 28 to 507 of the family's 1533-position model. The record is from RNAcentral.
GACGAACGCUGGCGGCGUGCUUAACACAUGCAAGUCGAACGGUGAAGCGCCUUCCUUUUUGGUGGGUGUGGAUGAGUGGCGAACGGGUGAGUAACACGUGAGUAACCUGCCCCCUUCUUCUGGAUAACCGCAUGAAAGUGUGGCUAUACGGGAUAUUCUGGGUCUGUCGCAUGAUGGGUCUGGGAAAGAUAUUGUUUCGGUGGGGGAUGGGCUCGCGGCCUAUCAGCUUGUUGGUGGGGUGAUGGCCUACCAAGGCGGUGACGGGUAGCCGGCCUGAGAGGGUGUACGGUCUCACUGGGACUGAGACACGGCCCAGACUCCUACGGGAGGCAGCAGUGGGGAAUAUUGCACAAUGGGCGCAAGCCUGAUGCAGCGACGCCGCGUGAGGGAUGGAGGCCUUCGGGUUGUGAACCUCUUUCGCCAGUGAAGCAGGCCUGCCUCGUUUGUGGGUGGGUUGACGGUAGCUGGAUAAGAAGCGCCGGCUAACUACGUG